RNAcentral lists this ribosomal RNA (212 nucleotides) under uncultured Pseudomonas sp. RNAcentral describes it as "partial 16S ribosomal RNA". It matches the Rfam family "Bacterial small subunit ribosomal RNA", at positions 1172 to 1382 of the family's 1533-position model. The record is from RNAcentral. Lineage: Bacteria; Pseudomonadati; Pseudomonadota; Gammaproteobacteria; Pseudomonadales; Pseudomonadaceae.
GGUGGGGAUGACGUCAAGUCAUCAUGGCCCUUACGGCCUGGGCUACACACGUGCUACAAUGGUCGGUACAAAGGGUAGCCAAGCCGCGAGGUGGAGCUAAUCCCAUAAAACCGAUCGUAGUCCGGAUCGCAGUCUGCAACUCGACUGCGUGAAGUCGGAACCGCUAGUAAUCGUGAAUCAGAAUGUCCACGGUCAAUACGUUCCCGGGCCUU